Long non-coding RNA from Neofelis nebulosa (Clouded leopard), 333 nucleotides. RefSeq lists it as uncharacterized. The transcript has 3 exons. NCBI's taxonomy places the organism in Eukaryota, Metazoa, Chordata, Mammalia, Carnivora, Felidae. The record is from RefSeq and is a predicted model, not a curated record.
CCUACAUAUGCAGUUAUUCUUUAGACCACAUUCGUUACUACUAUUUUGACACGGUUAAAUUUCACCCCAGUCCUGUAAUCCUGGAUUAGACCAUUCAUUUUCUUAAUGGAAGAAUAAGGCCAUACCUAAACAUAUUAAAAUAUUAUUCACUUUGACAAUGGAACUAGUUCCAAGACAUGAACUAUUGCUAUAUUAGAAACAAGAAGCAAUCAGUAUUUUUCAUUGCCUAAGAAUCUCUAUACUACAAAAAAAUCCAUCACUUCUAAUGAAAUUGACACACAGAAAAUGAAGCCACAUGAACAUCUGAAAGAGAUUAAAAUGGAAUAAAAAGUC